Molecule: transfer RNA, 67 nt
Filed under: Dreissena polymorpha
Lineage: Eukaryota; Metazoa; Mollusca; Bivalvia; Myida; Dreissenidae
Description: tRNA-Ser
Source: RNAcentral
GAAAAUAAUAGGUUGUCCGAGGACUUCUAAUUCUUGUGGCGGGCGAUUCGAUUUCGUUCUAUUUUCA